Ficedula albicollis (Collared flycatcher) is the source of this 778-nucleotide long non-coding RNA. RefSeq lists it as uncharacterized. Lineage: Eukaryota; Metazoa; Chordata; Aves; Passeriformes; Muscicapidae. The record is from RefSeq and is a predicted model, not a curated record. The transcript is spliced from 2 exons.
AAAGAAAAAAAUUGUAUUUUUCAUUGCUGAAACUGGUCUCAAAUGGAUUUAUACUGACAGAAGACAAUUAAUAAAAUGAUGUAUUAAAUGUUUUUGGCAGUAAAUCUUUAUUAUUUUAGAAUAUCCUGCAAGAAAUAUCAGUUGGAAAUCAACAGAUUUCCAAUAUGCUGUUACCACUGUCUACCAGUUUUGACCCAGAGGAUCCAACUUAGGUAGCAAAGUUCUCACUAAAAUAACCAUCAUUCUUUGACACUCAUUUCAGCAGCCUUUCCACUUACAAUGAGCACAAUGACAGAAUUUGCGAAUGCUACAUUUUUUUAUUACUCACAAAGGGUAAAGUAUCAAUAGGGGCCACACUUUAUAAGUGCUGCCAAGUGUCACAGCUCUAUCUCAAAGGACCUCUAUGAUUUCAAUACUGCUCAAAUGGGACAGUAAUGCUAUUAUUCAUCAUGAGGAAAGAUACUAUCUGAAGAAUUUAAAAUCACCUGGUCUCCAAGUUUAAUAGAUUUUGAAGCUGUGAAUUUUGUUCAACUUGGUAACAAAAUGCAGACAUUAUUUUGUAGGUCCAAAUUGUCAAAUGACUCAAAGAGCCACAACUUUGGUUGCUGACUGCUGUUGGUUUCAAAUGGGUUUUGCUCACUUCUCUGCUUAAGAAGUGACAGCUGCACUGACUUUACAAGAACAGUCAAUGCAACUUAAUAACAAAGAAUUUAACAAAAGAUAAUCAUCAGGAACCUGACAUUCUCCCUCUAAUAUUUAUCAUGAACAAAACAUAACA